RNAcentral lists this ribosomal RNA (1972 nucleotides) under metagenome. RNAcentral's name for it is "bacterial LSU rRNA". It matches the Rfam family "Bacterial large subunit ribosomal RNA", at positions 3 to 2014 of the family's 2925-position model. The record is from RNAcentral.
UCAAGUGAAUAAGUGCAUCAGGUGGAUGCCUUGGCGAUGAUAGGCGACGAAGGACGUGUAAGCCUGCGAAAAGCGUGGGGGAGCUGGCAAUAAAGCUAUGAUCCCGCGAUGUCCGAAUGGGGAAACCCACUGCAUUCUGUGCAGUAUCCUAAGUUGAAUACAUAGACUUAGAGAAGCGAACCCGGAGAACUGAACCAUCUAAGUACCCGGAGGAAAAGAAAUCAACCGAGAUUCCGCAAGUAGUGGCGAGCGAACGCGGAGGAGCCUGUACGUAAUAACUGUCGAGAUAGAAGAACAAGCUGGGAAGCUUGACCAUAGUGGGUGAUAGUCCCGUAUUCGAAAUCUCAACGGUGGUACUAAGCGUACGAAAAGUAGGGCGGGACACGUGAAAUCCUGUCUGAAUAUGGGGGGACCAUCCUCCAAGGCUAAAUACUCAUCAUCGACCGAUAGUGAACCAGUACCGUGAGGGAAAGGCGAAAAGAACCCCGGGAGGGGAGUGAAAUAGAACCUGAAACCUGAUGCAUACAAACAGUGGGAGCACCCAUGUGGUGUGACUGCGUACCUUUUGUAUAAUGGGUCAACGACUUACAUUCAGUAGCGAGCUUAACCGAAUAGGGGAGGCGUAGGGAAACCGAGUCUUAAUAGGGCGAAGAGUUGCUGGGUGUAGACCCGAAACCGAGUGAUCUAUCCAUGGCCAGGUUGAAGGUGCCGUAACAGGUACUGGAGGACCGAACCCACGCAUGUUGCAAAAUGCGGGGAUGAGCUGUGGAUAGGGGUGAAAGGCUAAACAAACUCGGAGAUAGCUGGUUCUCCCCGAAAACUAUUUAGGUAGUGCCUCGAGCAAGACACUGAUGGGGGUAAAGCACUGUUAUGGCUAGGGGGUUAUUGCAACUUACCAACCCAUGGCAAACUAAGAAUACCAUCAAGUGGUUCCUCGGGAGACAGACAGCGGGUGCUAACGUCCGUUGUCAAGAGGGAAACAACCCAGACCGCCAGCUAAGGUCCCAAAUGAUAGAUUAAGUGGUAAACGAAGUGGGAAGGCCCAGACAGCCAGGAUGUUGGCUUAGAAGCAGCCAUCAUUUAAAGAAAGCGUAAUAGCUCACUGGUCGAGUCGUCCUGCGCGGAAGAUGUAACGGGGCUCAAAUCUAUAACCGAAGCUGCGGAUGCUAGUUUACUAGCAUGGUAGGGGAGCGUUCUGUAGGCCGAUGAAGGUGCAUUGUAAAGUGUGCUGGAGGUAUCAGAAGUGCGAAUGUUGACAUGAGUAGCGAUAAAGCGGGUGAAAAGCCCGCUCGCCGAAAGCCCAAGGUUUCCUACGCAACGUUCAUCGGCGUAGGGUGAGUCGGCCCCUAAGGCGAGGCAGAAAUGCGUAGUCGAUGGGAAACAGGUUAAUAUUCCUGUACUUGAUUCAAAUGCGAUGUGGGGACGGAGAAGGUUAGGUUAGCAAGCUGUUGGAAUAGCUUGUUUAAGCCGGUAGGUGGAAGACUUAGGCAAAUCCGGGUCUUCUUAACACCGAGAAGUGACGACGAGUGUCUACGGACAUGAAGUAACCGAUACCACGCUUCCAGGAAAAGCCACUAAGCUUCAGUUUGAAUCGAACCGUACCGCAAACCGACACAGGUGGGCAGGAUGAGAAUUCUAAGGCGCUUGAGAGAACUCGGGAGAAGGAACUCGGCAAAUUGAUACCGUAACUUCGGGAGAAGGUAUGCCCUCUAAGGUUAAGGACUUGCUCCGUAAGCCUCGGAGGGUCGCAGAGAAUAGGUGGCUGCGACUGUUUAUUAAAAACACAGCACUCUGCUAACACGAAAGUGGACGUAUAGGGUGUGACGCCUGCCCGGUGCUGGAAGGUUAAUUGAAGAUGUGAGAGCAUCGGAUCGAAGCCCCAGUAAACGGCGGCCGUAACUAUAACGGUCCUAAGGGAGCGAAAUUCCUUGUCGGGUAAGUUCCGACCUGCACGAAUGGUGUAAUGAUCCGG